UACAGAGGGUGCGAGCGUUAAUCGGAAUUACUGGGCGUAAAGCGCGCGUAGGCGGCUUUGCAAGCCGGAUGUGAAAUCCCCAGGCCUAACCUGGGAACUGCAUUCGGGACUGCAUUGCUCGAGUAUGGGAGAGGGAAGUGGAAUUUCAGGUGUAGCGGUGAAAUGCGUAGAUAUCUGAAGGAACAUCAGUGGCGAAAGCGACUUCCUGGACCAAUACUGACGCUCAUGUGCGAAAGCGUGGGGAGCAAACAGG
RNAcentral lists this ribosomal RNA (253 nucleotides) under uncultured bacterium. RNAcentral's name for it is "partial 16S ribosomal RNA". It matches the Rfam family "Bacterial small subunit ribosomal RNA", at positions 524 to 776 of the family's 1533-position model. The record is from RNAcentral.